UACGAAUGGGGCAAGCGUUGUUCGGAAUCACUGGGCUUAAAGCGUACGUAGGCUGACUUACAAGUCAGGAGUGAAAUCCCAGGGCUCAACCCUGGAACUGCUUCUGAAACUGUAAGUCUAGAAUUCUGGAGAGGUUAGUGGAAUUCCUAGUGUAGAGGUGAAAUUCGCAGAUAUUAGGAGGAACACCAGUGGCGAAGGCGACUAACUGGACAGAUAUUGACGCUGAGGUACGAAAGCGUGGGGAGCAAAC
Molecule: ribosomal RNA, 250 nt
Filed under: uncultured bacterium
Lineage: Bacteria
Description: partial 16S ribosomal RNA
Rfam family: Bacterial small subunit ribosomal RNA
Source: RNAcentral